This 1029-nucleotide long non-coding RNA is filed under the name Oryctolagus cuniculus (rabbit). Its description in RNAcentral is "lncRNA (ENSOCUG00000037041.1)". The record is from RNAcentral. Lineage: Eukaryota; Metazoa; Chordata; Mammalia; Lagomorpha; Leporidae.
AUGCUGGCUCCCAGAGCCAUGGAGGGUGGAGGGGCUCCUGCCCGCCCCCUGCUCUCCAGGACUGCCCCCCCCCCCCACCGAGGGCCAGGACGUGUCCUGGGAGGGAGACCUUGGCACUCCAUGCUCUUCCACCUGAGGCUGAGAAACUGGGUCUCUGCAGACGGGGCGCAAGCCACUGACCCUCCCCUCUGCCCCCUGGCCAGCAUUACUGGCCGGCAGGGGCCUGUUGGCAUCCUGGGAGAGGCUUGGGUCUGGCAAUGCCAGGUCGGGGGAGGGGGGGUCUCGUCCACUGCCCGAAGCCAGGUGCAGGGUCACGGGGCUCAGCUGGACCACCUCGGCCGGAGCCGUGUCAGGAGCUGUGUCCAGGCCUCAGAACCCCCUCACUGCAGGGUCAGGGCAGGACGGCCUCCUCCGGUGGAGGGAGCAGCAUCCGGGAACCUUGGGAGUUGGAGCUGGCCAGGAGGCGUCUUCCCGCUGCAGCCAGAUGGUUCUCUGGGGACCCUCCGGGGAGCCGUGUUUCCGGAAGGCGGCCUGGGACUCUUCCAGGCCCUGCCUGGGGGACGCACGCUGCUGCAGUCUCGCAGGCCUUUCUGUGGGCUGACUCCAGCCCCUCCCUCCUGGCUGGGCUCCCCGGACCACCCCGAACACAUCCCCACUGCCCCCGCGUUCCCACAGCGACAUCUGUGUCUGGAGCUGCAGGGGAGAGGCUGCUGGCCUGCGGGGUACACCUCCCCCUGCCCCAGUCUUUGCUCUCUUUGGGAGAUGCCAUGUGCAAGGCAGCUGUGCUGGCACCUCCGAGCACGCAGCCAUGUGCCCACCACCGUGGGGGUGGCCUUUUCUCUAGAAUUCUGUGCACAUCAUUGGUUUCUGCUGGUUUGGUGGCCUGGCUCCUUGCGCGAGUGUCGGGCCCUGGCGGCUGUGCGGACGCAGAGGCCCUGGGGCACUGGCUGGGGUCUCUGGAGCUUGGUGUGCAGGUGGCAAAGCACGGUGUGUGGGCCUCCGGCCCUCUCGGCGCUGGUGAAGCUGUGA